CGACUCAUUGACUCGCAUCAGGAAGCGGUCGGAGAUGGGCCGCUGGCAGCCCUCGCAGACGGCGGGAUGCGGGCAGUCGGAGCCUGCAGCGCACAGGGCGAGAGCCGGGCGGUCAGCCCCGACCAGCUUGGCCCCAGCGUCCCGGCCGCGCGCUGCCCGCAGCCCGGGCCCCAAGGGCGAGGGCAAGCCGGGAGCGCCGCCCGCCGCCUGCGCUCCCCUGGCCGCCGCACCAGGGCCCGGGCAGCCUCAGCUGGUUGGUCCCAGUCCACGGACUCCCGCGCGGAGAGGCCGCGGGUCUCGAGGGCCCUGGCUCGGCGCUGCACUCUCCCCUUCUCCGGAGAUCCGGCGCUUGGUGUUACUACGUAUGAGAACCGGCACGGCGCGGGGUAGCCGGCUGGAACCAAGACGGGCGAGCUUCGGCGCUAGGAGGAGUGGCCCCAUGCGAGGCCAGACUGAGCGGAUGGCGGGGAGCGCAGCGGAUCCACCAGGGGAAGGCGCCGGCUGAGAGUGGCCGACCGGGGACCCCAUCUGUUGGUCAAGGGCCUAGUACUACUUCUUGGCAUUGUGUGGAAGACUUUUCACAUGCUAACUGAGCCUUCAGACAACCCUAUGAGGUAGGUAUUAUCCCCCCGUUUUGUAGAAGCAGAAACAGGAACUCAGGUGAGCUAGGAUUUGAACUCAUGUCUUCCGGAUUCCACCCCUUCAUUAGCAAGUACUUCUGGAGCACCUAACUCUAUUUCGGAACCUACCUUGAGACUGGGAUACAGAGAUGAACCACAAUUAUGGCAUGGGACUGUCUGUCUUUCCAUCUGUAGGUCCACCUGCUGCACUGGGAGCUCUUCAAGGGAAUCUGUCUGAUCAACUCUGAGCAUGAGCCCACAUAGCAAAACCAGUGGGUAUUUGUUGAAUGAACAAAUAAAUGAAGAAAAAAAGUUAAAAGAAAAGCAAUGCUUGAGGUUGUUAUGGCAGUCUAAUGUCUCUUACACUUGGAAACCUUUGUAAAAAAAUUCAAUAAUUUCUAAAUUAUAGAUAUAAUCUACUUCAUUAUAGAAAAUUUGGAACAUAUAGA
This is a long non-coding RNA of Mustela erminea (ermine), 1069 nucleotides long. RefSeq lists it as uncharacterized. The transcript is spliced from 3 exons. The record is from RefSeq and is a predicted model, not a curated record. Lineage: Eukaryota; Metazoa; Chordata; Mammalia; Carnivora; Mustelidae.